CCUACGGGUGGCAGCAGUGAGGAAUAUUGGUCAAUGGGCGCGCGCCUGAACCAGCCAAGUCGCGUGAGGGAAGACUGUCCUAUGGAUUGUAAACCUCUUUUGUCGGGGAGCAAUAGACGCCACGCGUGGCGUUCCGAGAGUACCCUAAGAAAAAGCCACGGCCAACUCCGUGCCAGCAGCCGCGGUAACACGGAGGAUGCGAGAGUUUUCCGGAUUUAUUUGGGUUAAAGGGUGCGCAGGCGGAAGAUAAAGUCAGCGGUAAAAUUGCGAGGCUCAACCUACUCGAGCCGUUGAAACUGGUUUUCUUGAGUGAGUGAGAAGUAGGCGGAAUGCGUGGUGUAGCGGUGAAAUGCAUAGAUAUCACGCAGAACUCCGAUUGCGAAGGCAGCAUACCGGCGCUCAACUGACGCUGAAGCACGAAAGUGUGGGUAUCGAACAGGAUUAGAUACCCGAGUAGUC
This 459-nucleotide ribosomal RNA is filed under the name uncultured bacterium. RNAcentral's name for it is "partial 16S ribosomal RNA". It matches the Rfam family "Bacterial small subunit ribosomal RNA", at positions 338 to 795 of the family's 1533-position model. The record is from RNAcentral.